CCAGUCCAUGAGCCUCGGGCAGAACUGGCGCCUCCAGCCCCACCUUUACCUCCUUUGCCACCCGAGAGGACCAGCGGCAUUGGGGACUCAAGGCCUCCAUCCUUCCACCCUAAUGUGUCCAGCAGCCAUGAGAAUCUGGAGCCUGAGACAGAAACCGAGUCAGUAGUGUCACUGAGGCGGGAGCGGCCUCGCAGGAGAGACAGCAGUGAGCAUGGCGCUGGGGGCCACAGGACUGGUGGCCCCUCAAGGCUGGAGCGCCACCUGGCCGGAUACGAGAGCUCCUCUACCCUCAUGACCAGCGAGCUGGAGAGUACCAGCCUGGGGGACUCGGACGAGGAGGACACCAUGAGCAGGUUCAGCAGCUCCACGGAGCAGAGCAGUGCCUCCCGCCUCCUUAAGCGCCACCGGCGGCGAAGGAAGCAGAGGCCACCCCGCCUGGAGAGGGGCACUCUAGCUCCUUCUUUUCCCACCACAGACGUCGUCCUUCAGCAGCGUCACAGAUUCCACAAUGUCUCUCAAUAUCAUCACAGUCACGCUAAACAUGGAGAAGUACAACUUCCUGGGUAUCUCCAUUGUUGGCCAAAGCAAUGAGCGGGGAGACGGAGGCAUCUACAUUGGCUCCAUCAUGAAGGGUGGGGCUGUGGCGGCCGACGGGCGCAUUGAGCCA
This 667-nucleotide small RNA is filed under the name Pan troglodytes (chimpanzee). Its description in RNAcentral is "processed transcript". The record is from RNAcentral. Lineage: Eukaryota; Metazoa; Chordata; Mammalia; Primates; Hominidae.